AUUGGUGACAGGUGGUGCAUGGUUGUCGUCAGCUCGUGUCGUGAGAUGUUGGGUUAAGUCCCGCAACGAGCGCAACCCUUGUCUUUAGUUGCCAUCAUUAAGUUGGGCACUCUAGAGAGACUGCCAGGGAUAACCUGGAGGAAGGUGGGGAUGACGUCAAAUCAUCAUGCCCCUUAUGCUUAGGGCUACACACGUGCUACAAUGGGUAGUACAGAGGGUUGCCAAACCGUAAGGUGGAGCUAAUCCCUUAAAGCUACUCUCAGUUCGGAUUGUAGGCUGAAACUCGCCUACAUGAAGCUGGAGUUACUAGUAAUCGCAGAUCAGAAUGCUGCGGUGAAUGCGUUCCCGGGUCUUGUACACACCGCCCGUCACACCACGGGAGUUGGAGACGCCCGAAGCCGAUUAUCUAACCUUUUGGAAGAAGUCGUCGAAGGUGGAAUCAAUAACUGGGGUGAAGUCGUAACAAGGUAGCCGUAUCGGAAGGUGCGGCUGGAUC
Molecule: ribosomal RNA, 496 nt
Filed under: Clostridioides difficile
Lineage: Bacteria; Bacillati; Bacillota; Clostridia; Peptostreptococcales; Peptostreptococcaceae
Description: bacterial SSU rRNA
Rfam family: Bacterial small subunit ribosomal RNA
Source: RNAcentral